UUAAGCAUAUCAAUAAGCGGAGGAAAAGAAACCAACUGGGAUUGCCUUAGUAACGGCGAGUGAAGCGGCAAUAGCUCAAAUUUGAAAGCUGGCGUCUUCGGCGUCCGCGUUGUAAUUUGUAGAGGAUGCUUUGGCGAGGACUCCUGCCUAAGUUCCCUGGAAUGGGACGUCACAGAGGGUGAGAAUCCCGUAUGUGGCGGGCGGUCCAAGCCAUGUGAAGCUCCUUCGACGAGUCGAGUUGUUUGGGAAUGCAGCUCUAAAUGGGAGGUAAAUUUCUUCUAAAGCUAAAUACCGGCCAGAGACCGAUAGCGCACAAGUAGAGUGAUCGAAAGAUGAAAAGCACUUUGGAAAGAGAGUUAAAAAGUACGUGAAAUUGUUGAAAGGGAAGCGCUUGCAACCAGACUCGUUCGCAGUUGCUCAGCCGGCCUCUUGGCCGGCGUACUCUUCUGCGGUCGGGCCAGCAUCAGUUCGGGCGGCUGGAUAAAGGUGUCGGGAAUGUAGCUCCCCUCGGGGAGUGUUAUAGCCCGGCGCGGAAUGCAGCCAGCCUAGACUGAGGAUCUCGCUUCGGCAAGGAUGCUGGCGUAAUGGUUGUAAGCGGCCCGUCUUGAAACACGGACCAAGGAGUCUAACAUCUAUGCGAGUGUUUGGGUGUCAAACCCACACGCGUAAUGAAAGUGAACGGAGGUGGGAACCCGCAAGGGUGCACCAUCGACCGAUCCUGAUGUCUUCGGAUGGAUUUGAGUAAGAGCAUAAAUGUUGGGACCCGAAAGAUAGUGAACUAUGCCUGAAUAGGGUGAAGCCAGAGGAAACUCUGGUGGAGGCUCGCAGCGGUUCUGACGUGCAAAUCGAUCGUCAAAUUUGGGUAUAGGGGCGAAAGACUAAUCGAACUAUCUAGUAG
Molecule: ribosomal RNA, 898 nt
Filed under: Phyllosticta encephalarticola
Lineage: Eukaryota; Fungi; Ascomycota; Dothideomycetes; Botryosphaeriales; Phyllostictaceae
Description: partial large subunit ribosomal RNA
Rfam family: Eukaryotic large subunit ribosomal RNA
Source: RNAcentral